GUCGUCUUCCUCCAUCUUUUCCAUCAGAUCAUAAAUAAAUCUAGUACAUUCGCCUAUAUACCUACCUUUAAGAAAUCCUUUUUGUGUUUGACUAAUUAUAUUUACCAGCACCUUUUUUAGUCUAUUUGCUAAACUUGCUGUAGCUAUCUUAUAGUCUACACACAAAAGUGUGAUAGGUCGCCAGUUCUUUAAAUAAAAUUUUGACUUACCCUCCUUUCGUAUACAAGUAAUGAGUCCCUGCCUUUGUGUGAUAGAGAACUUUCCAUAUUCUAAAGCCUCAUUUAAACAUCUUACCAGUGGUAUCUUAAUAUCAUUCCAAAAGAAUUUAUAAAACUCAACAGUAAAUCCAUCUAUACCAGGUGAUUUGGAGUUCUUCAUAAGUUUAAGAGAAGACAAACAUUCCUGCAUUGUUAAAGGUCCCUCACAGGAACCCACCUCUUC
This 441-nucleotide long non-coding RNA is filed under the name Mytilus galloprovincialis (Mediterranean mussel). Lineage: Eukaryota; Metazoa; Mollusca; Bivalvia; Mytilida; Mytilidae. The record is from RNAcentral.